Molecule: long non-coding RNA, 1842 nt
Filed under: Sus scrofa (pig)
Lineage: Eukaryota; Metazoa; Chordata; Mammalia; Artiodactyla; Suidae
Description: lncRNA (ENSSSCG00030031569.1)
Source: RNAcentral
AGCGUCUCCACAGCAAGAUUCCAAGCAAAGAUCCCUAUGAUUCAGAUAGUUUGGAGCAGAGCUUCUACGGGAUAAAUGUGGUUUUUUUCUGACUCAUAGGAAUCAUCACUCCAACAAAACCUUCACUGGGUAUGUGCUGUUAAUAGAAUGACUAUGUCCAUUCCUAGUCAUACUAAAUACUCUUUUCCUGGAGGGAAGGAAGGAAAAAAAGGAACAGGUAACGAGACAUCUCCUCUGCCCCAGGUCUCCCUUCUGACGGUGCAAUAUUGCUACAAGCCUUCAUUUCCACAUCCGGGGAAAGGAGCAGUCGUAAGGCAGACUGUUAGCUGUUGCAUCAUCAACAGAUGGCGUUUGCUUUUCUCUCCCGCUUUCCUGAAGGUUCUCCUGUAAAGCCCCUGGCCAGAAAUUUGGUUUGCAACAGGGAAGAACAGCCCCAGACCCUCAUGAAAAGGACUCUACCUGGUAUUUUUGACAACUGAUAUUUCAUGGAAUAGACCUAGGAGCUGGUAUCGCUUAGAAAAUUGUCAGAGGGACACAGGAUUUCCAGGAUGCUUUUGAAUUCGUUACGAGAUAAUUUAUGAAAGCCAAGAAUCAAUUAAGAAUGACUGGAUGGCAGUUCCCAUCGUGGCUCAGCGGAAACAAAUCCAGCUAGGCACCAUGAGGUUGAGGCUUCAAUCCCUGGCCUUUCUCAGUGGAUUAAGGAUCUGGCAUUGCCAAGAGCUGUGAUAUAGGCUGCAGACGGGGCUUGGAUCUGGCGUUGCUGUGGCUAUGGUGUAGGCUGGCAGCUAUAGCUCUGAUUCAAUCCCAUAUGCCUCUAGUGUGGCCCUCAAAAGCAAANAAAAAAAAAAAAAAAAAAAAAAAAAAAAAGAGAGAGAGAAUGGAUGAACUCAAGAGGAACUUCUUACUGGCAUUAUUUAUUUUGGAAGAAUGUUUACCACGUUUUUAAUAUUCUCUUUUCUGAAGGCUCCCUGAGAAAGCCCUUUUUCUUUUUUCUCAAUAGAUUCCUUUUUUCCUUAUAAUUGUGAUAAAAUAUGCCUAAUACAAAAUUUGCCACUUUAACUAUUUUUACAUGUACAGUCCAGUGGCAUUAAUUACAUUCAUAAUGCUGAGCAAACACCACCAUAUCUACUUCCAAAAUUUUUUCAUUACUCCAAACAGAAACUCUGUACCAAUUAAACUCUGCAUCCCCUCAACUUUGCCCCCAGCCCCUGGUAACCUCUAAUCUAUUUUCUGUCUCUAUGAAUUUGUCUACUCUAGAUGUUUCAUACAAGUGCAGUCAUAUAGUAUUUGAUAUUUCAUACAAGUGCAAUCAUACAGUAUUUGAUAUUUCCUAUAAGUGCAAUCAUACAGUAUUUGAAUUUGUCUAGAUAUUUCAUAGAAGUGCAAUUAUACAACAUUUGACAUAAAAUAUCAUUAUGCUAUUGUUUCACUUAGCACAAUGAUUUCAGGCUUCAUUCAUGCUGCGACACCCAUCAGAGCUUUGCUUUUUGUGGGUGAAUAAUAUUCCACUGUAUCUAUAGAUAAUAUUUUACAUAUCCAUUAAUCUGUUGAUAGACACUUAGAUUGUUUCCAGCUUUUGACUAUUAUGAAUAAUGCUGCAAUGGGCAUUUGUGCUAAAACGUCUGUUUGAUUUGAGUCUCUGGAAUUCUUUAGGGGUAUCGAUUUAGGAGAGGAAUUGUUAGGUUAAUCCGUGAUCUAUGUCUGACCUCAUCUUAAUAACUGUGUGCUUGCAUUAUGUUCUCUCUGGCUUCUCAAAAUUCAGAAACAAGUAUUUUUAUUGAGUUUCUUCACUUUUAAUGGCAAUGUAGUUGGUUCUACUUGUUCAAUAAAACUAAUCAGAAU